RNAcentral lists this unclassified non-coding RNA (168 nucleotides) under uncultured Clonostachys. RNAcentral describes it as "sequence contains ITS2". Lineage: Eukaryota; Fungi; Ascomycota; Sordariomycetes; Hypocreales; Bionectriaceae. The record is from RNAcentral.
CAACCCUCAUGCCCCUAGGGCGUGGUGUUGGGGAUCGGCCAAGGCCCGCAAGGGACGGCCGGCCCCUAAAUCUAGUGGCGGACCCGUCGUGGCCUCCUCUGCGAAGUAGUGAUAUUCCGCAUCGGAGAAGCGACGAGCCCCUGCCGUUAAACCCCCAACUUUCCAAGG